CCAGCAGCCGCGGUAAUACGGGGGGUGCAAGCGUUAAUCGGAAUUACUGGGCGUAAAGGGUCUGUAGGUGGUUUGUUAAGUCAGAUGUGAAAGCCCAGGGCUCAACCUUGGAACUGCAUUUGAUACUGGCACACUAGAGUACGGUAGAGGAAUGAGGAAUUUCUGGUGUAGCGGUGAAAUGCGUAGAGAUCAGAAGGAACACCAAUGGCGAAGGCAACAUUCUGGACCGAUACUGACACUGAGGGACGAAAGCGUGGGGAUCAAACAGGAUUAGAUACCCUGGUAGUCCAUGCUGUAAACGAUGAGUACUAGCUGUUGGAGUCGGUGUAAAGGCUCUAGUGGCGCAGCUAACGCGAUAAGUACUCCGCCUGGGGACUACGGCCGCAAGGCUAAAACUCAAAGGAAUUGACGGGGAUCCGCACAAGCGGUGGAGCAUGUGGUUUAAUUCGAUGCAACGCGAAGAACCUUACCUGGUCUUGACAUCCUGCGAGCUUUCUAGAAAUAGAUUGGUGCCUUAGGGAACGCAGUGACAGGUGCUGCACGGCUGUCGUCAGCUCGUGUUGUGAAAUGUUGGGUUAAGUCCCGCAACGAGCGCAACCCCUAUUGAUAGUUACCAUCAUUAAGUUGGGUACUCUAUUAAGACUGCCGCUGACAAGGC
Molecule: ribosomal RNA, 658 nt
Filed under: Francisella-like endosymbiont
Lineage: Bacteria; Pseudomonadati; Pseudomonadota; Gammaproteobacteria; Thiotrichales; Francisellaceae
Description: bacterial SSU rRNA
Rfam family: Bacterial small subunit ribosomal RNA
Source: RNAcentral